Molecule: long non-coding RNA, 1420 nt
Filed under: Sinocyclocheilus grahami
Lineage: Eukaryota; Metazoa; Chordata; Actinopteri; Cypriniformes; Cyprinidae
Description: lncRNA (ENSSGRG00000036166.1)
Source: RNAcentral
ACAACAACAACCACCACCAUUAUUAAUAACCAAGCACCAAUUAUACAGUAAUUGUGAAGACCUUGUGACACUGAAGACUGGAGUAAAAACUGUAAUAUUUCACAAUAUUUUUGAUCAAAUGAAUGCAGCCUUAGUGAGAAUAAGAGACCUCUUUCAAAAACUGCAUUUAAAAAAAAAUAUUCCAAACUUUUAACCGGUAGUGUACACACACACAGUUUAUUUCUAUUUUACAAAUUCUAUUAUAAAGUACAAUUUCUAUUAUUUCUAUUAUUACAAAUGAACAUUUAUUAACAAAAAUAUUAAAAUAAUUAAAAAUCAAAUAGGUGGCAUCGCUAACAUUACAGUGUUUAUGUUAUAAUAAAAUAGUUGUCAAUGGACAUGUAAAAUGUUGUCAGGUAAAAUAACUCACCAAUAUUAUUCUUUCCUUUGUAUUGGGUGAGAGUGAACCUGCGGUUGGAUCUUUCUUCUCUUCUCUGGAGUCCUAUUAAGAUAAGUGUGCUCAUUUAAAGCUCAGCCCUCAUAUAAGGGCUUCCCAAAGUUUGUCACUGUGUUUGUCAGUUGGGCAAGUCGUCAUACACAGCAUAAAGCCACCUAGCACCACAACAAACCCUUUUUAACUCUUGGAGUGGAUUUAACAGAGGUAUAUCAAGCAAACAACCAUACCUUCUCAAAAAACAAACUGCUUUUAACAUAUUACAUAGUUUAAAAAAAGAUUAAGUAAAACAGCCUAAGAAAAUGACAAAGUGUUGGGCAAACAAAGGAUUUAGGCUACUCACAUCCAGUUCCAUUGGCUACAUGAAUGCAAUAUUUUAAGAAAAACACAAUGGUUGAGGUAGAUGAUUUCAACUAUUGACAGAAAGGCUUUUGUAGGUUUGAAAAGUGCUGUCCACAUAUUACACAAAAUCUUUUUUUUUUUUUUCGCUCUCUCGAACACAGAUCUGAUUGCCAAACAGUACACCAUAACCUCAAAACACAUCAAAAAUAAUUAGUAAUACAAUAACAGGAAUAGUAGAGCUGUGUUCUUGAGCUGGAUUAGGUAGGAUUGUGUUACACAGUUCAGGUCCUGAAGCUUUGAGGGUGAGGUGGGUUAGGUUGAGGUACGCUCUCGGAGGGACGGUGGAUCACACUAUGGCGGUCUGGCUGCGUCUCAUUCCUCUCAGCAGCUCGUCUCGGCUGAGUAAGUACUGUAAGUGAGAGGAGGUGAAGGUGCCAGGAUUAGUCCGAAGAUCUGCAUAAGUUAAACCUAGUUAAGCAGAGUUAGGGCCCCGUUCAGACCAAACACGCUUUUUUUUUUAGAUCUGAAAAUGGAAGGCGCACUGCACUGCCUUUUUUUGGUGACUUUUUAAAAAAAAGAGCAGUGCACACCAAUUCAGCUGUCCUGUCAGUCUAAUCAAAGGAUUAUAGCGCGAGCGCUCUAAAA